This is a long non-coding RNA of Aegilops tauschii subsp. strangulata, 807 nucleotides long. RefSeq lists it as uncharacterized. NCBI's taxonomy places the organism in Eukaryota, Viridiplantae, Streptophyta, Magnoliopsida, Poales, Poaceae. The record is from RefSeq and is a predicted model, not a curated record.
CCAGCCUGUCUUCUCUACCAGAUCUGGCGGCCGCGUCGGCGAAACUGCUGGCAGUGAGACGGUUCGCGGGUGUGCGAUAGGAAACAUCGGCCGGUCGUCUUCGAGUCCGCCUACCACGGCGAUCCCGCAGUACAGCCUCCCCGCCUCCAAUAUGUGGCCUGGACAAGGCCGUCUUCUCCUUUCCUCUGUGGCGUCCAAUGAAGAGCUACACCACCGUGGCACCACAUGUGUAUUGUACCUUCGCCCCGCGGCCCUUCUGUUCUGGGAUGAGGCAGCGUUUGUCUGUAGCACUCCAUGUCCCACAUCAACAUUCCUUUCUUACUUAGUGUUGUACAAGUGAUGCAAUCAGGAUUUGCUGGUUUUUGAACAUAUCCCUGAUAGAGUGAAAGGGACGGAAGAAUUGGAAAUACAAUGAGGAUGGUGCAUGGAGAACAUGCUCUGUUGCCAUCUUCAUCCGCGAAUUGGCUCCCAAAUCUAAAAGGUGUGGCUGCCGAAACAUGAGUCUAACAAGGCGCGGCUGCUGAACCAGGAGAACCGCAGACCUGGUCACAAUGAAUGAGUUUGAGACAAACCUUGUGUCAUGUGUUAUCGCACUCAGAUAUCGGAGCCUUGGAGAAUGUAAAGAAAUGUUAAACGGGUAGAUGUGGCCCCUCUAAACUUACUUGAAUUGUUCAGCAAAGGUCCGCGAUUAAUGGUACCCAUGUACAUUCAGUAGGGCGAGUUGGUCUUGCUAUAUUGCAUUCAGGCAUAGUGUUGAUAUUUCAUCAAAAAUAAGUUCAAGCAUGAUAUUUAAGAUCAAUUCUGGAA